ACGACCAAAAUUUCAGACACUGUGUUUCAAAUCGUGUAGCGCGCGCACGGCAGAGAGGGAGAGGGAGCGAGAGUGUAUGUGCUAGUGUGCGUGUGUGCGAAGCGCACGUAAGACAGAGAGCAUCCUGAUUGGCCUGUUUCGGCAAAUCAACCAAUCAAUUGUCAGUGUGGGCGGGCUUUUAUCUCUUCUCCCGAACCAAAUUAAUCAGUUAUGUCUAUCUAGAAACAGGAGCACAAUGGCAGAGGGAGAGUGCAAUGGAAAAUAAAUAAAAGCAGUACUAUUUUACAUAAAUAGUAUAAGCAGCUUAUAUAAAUAGUAAAAGUAAUCUACAUAUUUAAACAUAAUUAACGAAUAAUUGCACAGGCCUAUAGCUUAUAGAAAUAAUAUUUUAUGCUUUUAUAUUUUUUAUUAAUGUCAUGUUCUGUGGUGAAAUGUCAUAUCCUUGUCCUCCUUUCCCCCUUUUUUUUUUGGGGGGGGGGGGGGGGGGGGGGGGGGGGGGGGGGUGGGGGGGGGGGGGGGGUGGUUGGCUUCGGGAUACCUCCCUGAAAUGAAAUAAGUAUGGUUGGGAUGUCUGGGUUGCCUCCUCUGGUGGUAGUUUUGGAGAGCCCAGGACGCUACUGGCCCUCAGUCAAAGAUUAAGAGGAUAAGCUUCAGAGAAACUGACACAUACUCAGCUGUACGGUUAAUGCUCAGCUCUUGCCCCCUCCAUGUCUUCUCUUCCAGCAGAAGUCGUACUUCAAGAGCAGUCAGUGGGAUACACACAUAUAUUUUUUGCAGGGCUGGAGCGGGACUCAUUUUGAGCUCUGGAGUUUCAUGCCUUAGACCGGCCCACUUCAGUUCACCACUGAGCUAUACUAAAAUAAUGUAAUUUAAACUUCAGUACAUAAGUCUGCAAUACUGCACUGUUCUCUACAGCCUUGUAAUUCAUUCUAUUUUUCUAGAGCUUUCCUGUUUUUUUUUUUUUUUAUAUAUAUACUGGCCUUUUCAGUGCCAUCUGUGCAAUUUCUAUUAUUCAUUUUUUACCUAUAAUUUUGUGCUCGCAUAUCUCCAACAACCGACUUGUUUUUUUUCAAGGUGCUGCUGUCUGGGAGUCAACAGAUAAUUGCCAAUUAACUUAAAUGGAAAAUAAGGGAAUAUUGUGAUUCUUUAUAAGAAAAUAAGGGACAGAAUGAGGGACGGUCAAAAUAUUUGUACUGUACCAUAAUGUAUGUCUGCCUGCAGUUAAAAAGUUCUCAGAAAUAAUCACAUUUGUUCUGGUUAACCUAUUUAUGUACAAUUAUUCUAAAAAUAAUUUUUAAUGUAAUCUAAAAAAAUGUAAAUUGUACCAUUAUAGAAGUGUGACUGCACAAGUAGUGAAGUAAUUUAGGAGGUGAAGAUACUGUGAAAUUACACACGCACAAAUGGCAUGAGAUAUAAAGCAUAACAACUGAAGAUCUGUGAAGCGUCAGUCAAUAAAGCAUUUUUUAAACAAUAUGGCA
Molecule: long non-coding RNA, 1478 nt
Organism: Cyprinus carpio (common carp)
Lineage: Eukaryota; Metazoa; Chordata; Actinopteri; Cypriniformes; Cyprinidae
Source: Ensembl